Molecule: ribosomal RNA, 468 nt
Filed under: uncultured bacterium
Lineage: Bacteria
Description: partial 16S ribosomal RNA
Rfam family: Bacterial small subunit ribosomal RNA
Source: RNAcentral
GACGAACGCUGGCGGCGUGCUUAACACAUGCAAGUCGAACGGAAAGGCCCUGCUUUUGUGGGGUGCUCGAGUGGCGAACGGGUGAGUAACACGUGAGUAACCUGCCCUUGACUUUGGGAUAACUUCAGGAAACUGGGGCUAAUACCGGAUAGGAGCUCCUGCUGCAUGGUGGGGGUUGGAAAGUUUCGGCGGUUGGGGAUGGACUCGCGGCUUAUCAGCUUGUUGGUGGGGUAGUGGCGUACCAAGGCUUUGACGGGUAGCCGGCCUGAGAGGGGGACCGGCCACAUUGGGACUGAGAUACGGACCAGACGCCAACGGGAGGCAGCAGUGGGGAAUAUUGCACAAUGGGCGGAAGCCUGAUGCAGAAACGCCGCGUGCGGGAUGCCGUCCUUCGGGUUGUAAACCGCUUUCGCCUGUGACGAGGCGUGAGUGACGGUACUGGGUAAAGAAGCACCGGCUAACUACGUG